RNAcentral lists this long non-coding RNA (540 nucleotides) under Equus caballus (horse). RNAcentral describes it as "lncRNA (ENSECAG00000047106.1)". The record is from RNAcentral. Lineage: Eukaryota; Metazoa; Chordata; Mammalia; Perissodactyla; Equidae.
GUGACAAUGUCCUGGGUUACAGUGUAACAUUUCUUAAUAUGGAUUACAGUGUUUAAAAGUUGGUAAAUCACUGCUUUAGAAGACGUAAUCAACCAGGUUUUUCACCUACCUUUUUAUUUGGCAAGAGGUGGGGGAGGCAGAAGUCAUCAGGAUUAAUGAUUAAGUUUAGUAAGACUACAGAGAGCAAACCUUUGCAGCUCCAGCAGGCUUAAUCCAAACAGCCCUGUGUUUCUCUAAAGAACAAAAGAAGGAAGAACAAAAGGAAGGAGUGGAAGGCCAUAUGAUGGAGAUUCCUAAUGUAACAGGACAACUCCGGACAGCUCUCCUGUAGUCCUACACUGAUGAAUAAAGAAGAAACGUGCCCCUCACAGAAUCCUGAAGAGGAGUCUGUGGAUGUACUCUGUCUUAUGGCAGUUUGUUCCAGGUUUUUGUCUCCUAAAGUGGGUGUGGUCUGACAUAUGAAGUUACCCAUAUCAGUACCAGCUGGAUCCUUCCUUCAGGGUGGAGGUGCCUUCCUCCUUAUCUGUAUAAAGAGCCUCC